GCAAUCGACCAUAGGGUACAGAGACCAGGGCUUCCCGUUCGCUCAGCCGUACUUAAGCUGUACGCCGGUCAGUUAGUACCAAAGUGGGUGACCAUUUGGGAAUCCUGACUGUUGAUUGUU
Molecule: ribosomal RNA, 120 nt
Organism: Rhinocladiella mackenziei CBS 650.93
Lineage: Eukaryota; Fungi; Ascomycota; Eurotiomycetes; Chaetothyriales; Herpotrichiellaceae
Source: Rfam